Molecule: long non-coding RNA, 613 nt
Organism: Spinacia oleracea (spinach)
Lineage: Eukaryota; Viridiplantae; Streptophyta; Magnoliopsida; Caryophyllales; Amaranthaceae
Exons: 3
Source: RefSeq, a predicted model, not a curated record
GCGGUCGUUAACAUUGCAUUUUACAUUUGAAAAGAAAAAAAGGAAAAUCUUUUGUUCAUCGUUAAUUUGCAUAAAUCGAUAAUGCGGGGUUAUUCAAUUAGAGGAAAAUUGAGUAAAACCAUAGCAAGGGAAGCUAAAGCGCUCGUUACUCAAUCAGAUUACGGCCACUAUCAAAAUUUACUCUCAUAAUCCUAUAGUUUCAAAAAUUAACAAUUUUGUGCCUCUCAAAAUUUUCUCCAUCAGUUCCAAGAAUAUAUAAAUCCAGAUCUUGUUAUUAGUUGUCGAUAAUUCCGGGAAACCACCUUGCUUAAUAUGUUGAAGACUUGAAGAAUAGGCCCCUCACACCUGAAGAACUCAAUGUUGGUAAAAUCAAGUUCAAGGCCAUUGUUUGGGGAGGAUUUCAGAUCUCUUGCCGCAUCCGUAAAGAUUACUAUGUCAAAGUAAAUUUAUAUCCUUGUGUAUUUUGCCCUGUUAAUAAUUUUAUUAAGGGAUUGAUUGACCAUGUUGUGUGCCGAAUUUCCAAGUUGUUUUAUUUCCUAGUGUAUUUAAGUUUAAGUUGUUUGAAUGCUUAGUCGUUGCAUGUUGCUCGAGUUGAGAUGCUUGACCAGUCCCU